UGAACGCUGGCGGCGUGCCUAAUACAUGCAAGUCGAGCGAACAGACGAGGAGCUUGCUCCUUUGACGUUAGCGGCGGACGGGUGAGUAACACGUAGGUAACCUACCUAUAAGACUGGGAUAACUUCGGGAAACCGGAGCUAAUACCGGAUAAUAUUUCGAACCGCAUGGUUCGAUAGUGAAAGAUGGCUUUGCUAUCACUUAUAGAUGGACCUGCGCCGUAUUAGCUAGUUGGUAAGGUAACGGCUUACCAAGGCAACGAUACGUAGCCGACCUGAGAGGGUGAUCGGCCACACUGGAACUGAGACACGGUCCAGACUCCUACGGGAGGCAGCAGUAGGGAAUCUUCCGCAAUGGGCGAAAGCCUGACGGAGCAACGCCGCGUGAGUGAUGAAGGUCUUCGGAUCGUAAAACUCUGUUAUUAGGGAAGAACAAACGUGUAAGUAACUGUGCACGUCUUGACGGUACCUAAUCAGAAAGCCACGGCUAACUACGUG
RNAcentral lists this ribosomal RNA (495 nucleotides) under uncultured bacterium. RNAcentral describes it as "partial 16S ribosomal RNA". It matches the Rfam family "Bacterial small subunit ribosomal RNA", at positions 30 to 507 of the family's 1533-position model. The record is from RNAcentral.